GGACUACUGGGGUUUCUAAUCCCGUUUGCUCCCCUAGCUUUCGCGCCUCAGCGUCAGUAUUGGGCCAGAUGAGCGCCUUCGCCACCGGUGUUCCUCCUGAUAUCUACGCAUUUCACCGCUACACCAGGAAUUCCCUCAUCCUCUCCCAUACUCAAGCCAGGCAGUUUGGGAUGCAGUUCCCCGGGUGAGCCGGGGUAUUUCACAUCCCACUUACCAGGCCGCCUACACGCCCUUUACGCCCAGUGAUUCCGAACAACGCUUGCUCCCCCCGUGUUACCGCGGCGGCUGGCAC
Molecule: ribosomal RNA, 292 nt
Filed under: uncultured bacterium
Lineage: Bacteria
Description: partial 16S ribosomal RNA
Source: RNAcentral